Molecule: ribosomal RNA, 1433 nt
Filed under: uncultured organism
Description: 16S ribosomal RNA
Rfam family: Bacterial small subunit ribosomal RNA
Source: RNAcentral
CGCUGGCGGCGUGCUUAACACAUGCAAGUCGAACCUUUAGGCCCUGCUUUUGUGGGGUGCUCGAGUGGCGAACGGGUGUGUAACACGUGAGUAACCUGCCCUUGACUUUGGGAUAACUUCAGGAAACUGGGGCUAAUACCGGAUAGGAGCUCCUGCUGCAUGGUGGGGGUUGGAAAGUUUCGGCGGUUGGGGAUGGACUCGCGGCUUAUCAGCUUGUUGGUGGGGUAGUGGCUUACCAAGGCUUUGACGGGUAGCCGGCCUGAGAGGGUGACCGGCCACAUUGGGACUGAGAUACGGCCCAGACUCCUACGGGAGGCAGCAGUGGGGAAUAUUGCACAAUGGGCGGAAGCCUGAUGCAGCAACGCCGCGUGCGGGAUGACGGCCUUCGGGUUGUAAACCGCUUUCGCCUGUGACGAAGCGUGAGUGACGGUAAUGGGUAAAGAAGCACCGGCUAACUACGUGCCAGCAGCCGCGGUGAUACGUAGGGUGCGAGCGUUGUCCGGAUUUAUUGGGCGUAAAGGGCUCGUAGGUGGUUGAUCGCGUCGGAAGUGUAAUCUUGGGGCUUAACCCUGAGCGUGCUUUCGAUACGGGUUGACUUGAGGAAGGUAGGGGAGAAUGGAAUUCCUGGUGGAGCGGUGGAAUGCGCAGAUAUCAGGAGGAACACCAGUGGCGAAGGCGGUUCUCUGGGCCUUUCCUGACGCUGAGGAGCGAAAGCGUGGGGAGCGAACAGGCUUAGAUACCCUGGUAGUCCACGCUGUAAACGGUGGGUACUAGGUGUGGGGUCCAUUCCACGGGUUCCGUGCCGUAGCUAACGCUUUAAGUACCCCGCCUGGGGAGUACGGCCGCAAGGCUAAAACUCAAAGGAAUUGACGGGGCCCCGCACAAGCGGCGGAGCAUGCGGAUUAAUUCGAUGCAACGCGUAGAACCUUACCUGGGUUUGACAUGGAUCGGGAGUGCUCAGAGAUGGGUGUGCCUCUUUUGGGGUCGGUUCACAGGUGGUGCAUGGCUGUCGUCAGCUCGUGUCGUGAGAUGUUGGGUUAAGUCCCGCAACGAGCGCAACCCUUGUUCACUGUUGCCAGCACGUUAUGGUGGGGACUCAGUGGAGACCGCCGGGGUCAACUCGGAGGAAGGUGGGGAUGACGUCAAGUCAUCAUGCCCCUUAUGUCCAGGGCUUCACGCAUGCUACAAUGGCUGGUACAGAGAGUGGCGAGCCUGUGAGGGUGAGCGAAUCUCGGAAAGCCGGUCUCAGUUCGGAUUGGGGUCUGCAACUCGACCUCAUGAAGUCGGAGUCGCUAGUAAUCGCAGAUCAGCAACGCUGCGGUGAAUACGUUCCCGGGGCUUGUACACACCGCCCGUCAAGUCAUGAAAGUUGGUAACACCCGAAGCCGGUGGCCUAACCGUUGUGGGGGAGCCGUCGAAGGUGGGACUGGUGA